This is an RNA transcript of Trichechus manatus latirostris (Florida manatee), 3246 nucleotides long. It is a transcript of the gene named lymphocyte transmembrane adaptor 1, with no coding region annotated. The record is from RefSeq and is a predicted model, not a curated record. NCBI's taxonomy places the organism in Eukaryota, Metazoa, Chordata, Mammalia, Sirenia, Trichechidae. The transcript is spliced from 7 exons.
UUUCUGCGGGUCGGGUCGGAGGAGGGGUGAGGGUUGGGGAUGAGCUUCUCACUAAGCCUUUCACAGGCCUCUUAGCAGUCUCCCCCUCUGUGCCGCUCACGGUCCCAUCUGACGACGGAGACCACGGAUCAUCCAUGAGCUCCCCCUUCGGUAGCACCACAUCAGGAUGAGAUCUCACCUCCGGCACUGGGCAUUGUAGCCACAUCCAGUCAGCAACUUAGGAAGAGCCAGGAGAAGUGACAGGCAUGCUGGCUAGCUGAUUAUGACCAACAGAAGACUUAGGAGGAGAAGCUGAACCCGGCGACCAUUGCAGGGGUCCAUGUGACAAUGAAUCAUACUGCCCCGGCCCGUUCAGAAACCAAAAGGAUGACCUUGGAGCCCAGCACGCUGCAGGAAACUUGUGGCAGCCUAGACGGGGAUAAAGACCAGAGCACCACCAUCUUCUCAGGGUUUGCGGGGCUCCUUGCCACCCUCCUGGUCAUCGCGGUUCUCUGCAUCCUGUGCAACUGGAAUAAACGGAAGAAGCGCCCAGUUCCUUACCUCCGAGUUACUGUCAUGCCCUCGCUGACCCUGCCUCAGUGCAGGCAAAGAUCCAAAAACAUUUAUGACUUCUUGCCUCGGAGACAAGAAGAGCCAGGGAGACAUCAGUCAAGGAGUAUUCGCAUUUUCAGUACUGAGAGGCUUCUCUCCAGAAAUUCGGACAGCCCUACCCCUGAGCAUGUGCUCUCACGAGCAGGCAAUGCCCUCCAGGUGCAUGCAGUCCAUACCUGUGCCAUGGGGUAUGCAGUGGGUGUCUAUGACAACACUAUGGUGCCCCAGAUGUGUGGGACCUUCACGCCCUCAGCACCCUACGUCAAUGUCAGAGCUUCCAGAGACGACCUGAGCAUUUCUUCAGAGGAUUCGAGGGAUUAUGUCAAUGUGCCCAGAGCAGAAGAAAUUGCUGAGAAUCUAGCUUCCAACUCCCCCAGAAAUCUGUCUGUCCUCCCAAGUACACAGGAGCUGGACUUUACUGAGAAAAGAGACGUGGGCUGUGGGGACACCAGUGACUGCACCAGAUUUUGGUCUCCAGGAACUGAGAGCAGCAAUGAACUCAGUGAUGAGGAGAGCUCUUCUCAGACCUCAAAUGACUACGUCAACGUGUCAGAAUUAGAUCUUGGGGCCGCCCAGAGGGAGAAGCCCUGGACGACUUUUCAGUGCUGCAGAGAUUAUGAAAAUGUCCCACCAGCAGAUGUCAAUGGAAGCCAGCAGCAGGCAGAGGAAGAGGCGACAUCCUUAAACACAGACCAUGUGAAGGGCAGGACAGAUGCUCUGGGGACCCACACUCAGCCUGUCAUGCAAUCAGGCAGUUUCCUUGUUUUAGGGGAUCAUAUGGCCUUUCAGCCAUUGGCACAGAGUGGGAAUAGUCAGAUGAAGCAUGGAGAAGAGACGCCAAGUGAGGACGAUAGUGACUACGAGAAUGUGCUAGCUGCCAAGUUAGGAGACAAGGACUCUGAGCAGGGAUCGGGCACACAGCUCCUUCCUGAUGAAUUAAGACCCAGCGACCCAGCUGGAAAGUUACAUGGAAUGGUUUAUCCUGCUGGAUCCACAGCCACCACAGAGUCCAGUGAUGAUCCAUGACCACUCUAGUAUCCCAGUGGAUUCAUUUGGUUGGGCUCAAAAGAGGCUGAGGAAAUUUUGAAUUAAAUGGAAUACCCAUUGCAGUCAUUGUCUCAUCUCAAUUGCCUGAUAACACUAAACGUGAGGAAAGUUUUUCAAGAUCAGGAAUGAGAAGUAGAUGUAAAGAUAACUAAUUCAUUGUGAUUCUUCGAUUAGUUAAAUAUACUCAAUUAAUUACUCAAACGUGUAUUAUAGUGAUGUGUUCUCAUUCAGAAUUCUGUUUGGUAUGAAAUGCAGAGGUUUGCUAGGUCUCCUGCAUCCUUCUAUAAAGACCCUGUCCUCGAAGGGUAAGCAGAAGACAUAACUUGAUGUCUUUCUUGGAUCUGCCCUCUCUGAACCUCUCUUAGUUACCUUGGGCUGGAUCAUCAUUCCUGGGUUUCCCGUGGGCUGAGGGCCUGUACUGACUUGCAAAUACUUCCAGGAACUCUGAGUCUUAAAACAGUCAAUAAGUGGAUGCCCUACCUCCCUGGAGUUAGGGGGAAAUGGAAAUAAACACUUCCUCUUGCCAACCUUUUUCUUCAGCUUUCCCAUCCCCAGACUGGAAAGGUGGCUGUACAUUUCUACCCUGAAGGGUUAGGACCAUUUCAGAAGAAUAGGACAACAUAACCCGAACUUUAACCAUUUCCUCCUAUCUCAGACACUCUUUCGACUCGCCAGGAACAAGGCAAGGUGCCUCAAACCCUUCACAAGCAAGCAGUUUCCCAGGCAAGGCUGGCUUCAUGGGCACACGUGUGCAGUUGCCCAGGGACAGCUCAGCUGUCGCCAUCUUGAAAUUCUUAACUUUGAAAGAAAUUCUUCUUUAUGAGCUUAUGUUUGUAAAUAAAAUCUGCUGGGACAAUGCAGGCUGCAUGUGGGCAGAGGAGAUGCACAUAAUAUGCAUAUCCACCACUCCUUGUGGCUCUAUUUGCAUAUAGCUUUGAUGAUGCCCCAUAAGUACUGAAUUCUGUUGGACCCACAAUUCGCAUGUCUCAAAGUAAGUACAAGAAAAGUGUGUGAUGUCCACAACUGAGUAAGCAGGGGCUCUGACAGUCCUGAGAGACCACAAUUUCUGUUCAAACCAGAGCUUGCUUUAAAUCCAGAAAGAGGCAAUAGUGUUCUAAGAAGCACAAAUGACUGAGGAACCCUAUUAUAUCCUUUCUUACUUGUAUUACUUUGCUGUAAUACUUAACCACUUACACUGAAAAUAAUGACACAGAAGGAAAGGGACAGUUAGGGCAGCUCCUCAUAGUUCCUUUUCCUUUGAUUUUCUACCUUUGAUUUACUGAUGUAGUCUUUCCUUAUUCAUCAGUUAAUCAAAGGUAGAGAGUAUUGGUAGGAUGUGUGUAUAUCAAGAAGCAAAAUAAAAACAGUUGAGUUAGUUUUGUGCAGUGUUUCCACUGUUGUGGUAAGAAUUAAAUAGAUACAUAUGUACAAGCUGCAAAAUAAAAUUAGUAUAGUUUUGGUGACUCCACAGACAAGUUAAACACUCAUGUUUGCAUUUAAAACAGGCAUUGCACAACGUAAAGAUGAAUGGUAAAAUUCAUGCUAACAAUUUAAAAUUUUUAUGUUUUUUAUUUAAAGAAUGCAUUAAGAAGUAUCUUAGUCUGGGUU